UCCUUGAGAGUCCAGUGGUCAAGACUCUGCACUCCCACUGCAGGGGGUGUUGGUUCGAUCCCUGGUCAAGGAA
RNAcentral lists this transfer RNA (73 nucleotides) under Bos taurus (domestic cattle). It matches the Rfam family "tRNA". Rfam says of the family: Transfer RNA (tRNA) molecules are approximately 80 nucleotides in length. Lineage: Eukaryota; Metazoa; Chordata; Mammalia; Artiodactyla; Bovidae. The record is from Rfam by way of RNAcentral. RNAcentral also lists the same sequence under 3 other names.